Oncorhynchus keta (chum salmon) is the source of this 331-nucleotide long non-coding RNA. RefSeq lists it as uncharacterized. Lineage: Eukaryota; Metazoa; Chordata; Actinopteri; Salmoniformes; Salmonidae. The record is from RefSeq and is a predicted model, not a curated record. The transcript has 3 exons.
GGUAGGAGGAGACAGGCUGAGGCAGGAGGAGACAGGCUGAGGUAGGAGGAGACAGGCUGAGGUAGGAGGAGACAGGCUGAGGUAGGAGGAGACAGGCUGAGGCAGGAGGAGACAGGCUGAGGCAGGAGGAGACAGGCUGAGGUAGGAGGAGACAGGCUGAGGUAGGAGGAGACAGGCUGAGGUAGGAGGAGACAGGCUGAGGCAGGAGGAGACAGGCUGAGGUAGGAGGAGACAGGCUGAGGUAGGAGGAGACAGGCUGAGGUAGGAGGAGACAGGCUGAGGUAGGAGGAGACAGGCUGAGGCAGGAGGAGACAGGCUGAGGUAGGAGGAG